RNAcentral lists this ribosomal RNA (401 nucleotides) under bacterium. RNAcentral's name for it is "partial 16S ribosomal RNA". It matches the Rfam family "Bacterial small subunit ribosomal RNA", at positions 355 to 776 of the family's 1533-position model. The record is from RNAcentral.
UGGGGAAUUUUGCACAAUGGGGGAAACCCUGAUGCAGCGACGCCGCGUGAUUUAGAAGGCCUUCGUGUUGUAAAAUCUUUUCUAUGGGAAGAAAAUGACAGUACCAUAGGAAUAAGGACCGGCUAAUUACGUGCCAGCAGCCGCGGUAAUACGUAAGGUCCGAGCGUUGUCCGGAAUCAUUGGGCGUAAAGGGUACGUAGGCGGGUAAGCAAGUUAGAAGUGAAAUCCUAUAGCUCAACUAUAGGAAGCUUUUAAAACUGCUCAUCUUGAGGUAUGGAAGGGAAAGUGGCAUUCCUAGUGUAGCGGUGAAAUGCGCAGAUAUUAGGAGGAAUACCGGUGGCGAAGGCGACGUUCUGGCCAUAACCUGACGCUGAGGUACGAAAGCGUGGUUAGCAAACAGG